Molecule: long non-coding RNA, 27558 nt
Filed under: Citrus maxima (pomelo)
Lineage: Eukaryota; Viridiplantae; Streptophyta; Magnoliopsida; Sapindales; Rutaceae
Description: long non-coding RNA (CMAX_LNC001988)
Source: RNAcentral
ACCAAUAAUCUACAGAAUAGAGAUGGAGGAUGGGGAUUGCAUAUAGAAGGGUGCAGCACGAUGUUCUGUACUGCGCUAUCAUAUGUCACUUUGAGACUGCUUGGAGAGACAAUGGACAGUGGGGAUGAUGGUGCCAUGGAAAAAGCCCGAAAAUGGAUCCUUGAUCGCGGUGGGGUCACCUCCAUUCCAUCUUGGGGAAAGAUGUGGCUUUCGGUACGAACCAUUCAUUACAUCCCUGUAAUCAUCCUCCGGUCUGAACGUCUUGGUGCAAAUUUGUUCACGAAUGUUGGCAUUUCAAGGCUAAAAUACACAACAAUUUAGCACUGAAUUGCGAGCAAACCGUAUACAAUUAGUUCACAUUUUAUAUUACUGUUUUUUUAUUUUAUCUUCACAACUCAUUAUUUAGAUUUUUGCUACCUAUAUUUUUCGGCAAAAUAAAAAUAGGUGCUUGGAGUAUACGAGUGGAGUGGGAACAAUCCACUACCCCGGAAAUAUGGCUUCUCCCUUAUUUUCUUCCUUUUCAUCCAGGUAAAAACUAAUUUUGUUUGUGUGUUUGUUUAUAUUAUCUAUAAUUCAGCUUUUUUAUGUGUAAAUUCAAAACCUUAAAUUGAUAUUUUAAGUGAAAACGAACUCGUUAUACCAUGUAGUUAAUUAAUAUCGGAUGUUUAUGUUUUUUGAUCCGGGAUCUUAAAAUGCGGGAAAAAUUCAGGAAAGUUUUAAAGGCGUGAGAUUUUAAAAGUUUAAAACUUAAAGAAUUAAAACCGCACGGUUUAUACGUUUUCCAGAACUUUCCCACACUUUAAAAUUUCCAAACUUUAAUUACUAUGGCCAUAAAAAUACGGGGUUAACUAUAUAUCAAUAAUCAUAAUUUAAUUUUGGAUUUUAUAGAAUAAAUACAUGUACGUCGGAGAAAAUUUCCCAUAUUGUCGUGUUAGUACAUUUUGGAAUAGUAAAUUAAUUAGUUAUAGUUUUGAAUGAUACAAGUAAAUGGAUCGUAUAAAUUGAUGAAAUUAAUGCACGUAUGCAGGACGUAUGUGGUGUCAUUGUCGGAUGAUGUAUUUGCCAAUGUCGUAUUUGUAUGGAACCAGAUUUGUCGGUCCAUUCAAUUCUCUUAUUUUAUCUCUUAGAAAGGAGCUCUACACGCUUCCUUAUCACUCCAUCGAUUGGGACCAUGCCCGAAAUUUGUGUGCCAAGGUACAAUAAAAUUAAAAUAAUCUUUAUUCCAUUCUAUUUAAAUUUAAAAACUUCAUAACUUUAUGUGCGACAAGAGAAAAGACAAGCCGAAUUAACUUAAUACUCUACUAAUAAUAAAUAUUACAAUUACAGUAUUAAAUGUCAAUUUUUUUCCUCAUUUCUCUUUUAUGUGAUAAUUUGAGAAAAAGAGCGAACCCAUAUUGUUUAAUAAGACUAAUCGAAACCCUUUGAUAUUUUAAAAUAUGUUUAAAUGUUUUUAGGUGUCAAUUUGUUUUUGUUAAUCUUAUCAUUUUAUCCUUUGUGGUUGUUUGACGUUGGGGUUAUAUGAAUAUAUAUAAUUCUUUAAUUAAUUGACUAAUUAUUUUUUUCAUAACUAAUUGCAAAAGUAAAUGAAAAAUUAUGGAACAAGUAAGCAAAAUUGUCAUAAAAUUUUAAUUAGUUAUGAAUUUUUACAAAACAAUUGAAAAUUAAAUAUAAAAGUUUAAUUUAUAUAUAGUCAUUAUCUAAUUAUGGAUUUCUUAAAUUAUUAAAGUAAGAGAUAAAGUAAAAGACAAAAUACACGCUCCAAUAUAAGGUGUUUUAUCCGAUCGUGUAUCGAAUUGUGUGUCUCUUCUGUCUUUUAAUUUAUUCUUUACUUUAAUAAUUUAAGGGAACCGAAUAUAUAUAUAAUGAAAUUCCUUUACUUUUACCCAUAGUUUUUCAGUUAAUUAUAAAUUAUUUAAUUAAUUAAAUAAUUAAAGAUAUUUAUUUAAGGGGUUCCACUCAUUUUCCUUGAUAACUUAAUAGAAAAAUAAUUUUAUUCUAGUGUCAAUGCGUGGUUAAUUGCUCAAAUUAAUAAUAAUGAGUGGUACGAUUCGCCAAUUGGAGCUUUAAAUAAUGUUGGCGUUGUCACUUGUAAGAGAUUAAAUUAUAAAUUUUAGUACAGGUGACAUGAGAAUAAGAUAUAAAAUAAUGAGUGAGAUAAUCUUUUUCAUUUUUUGAAAACAUAAUAUAAACAAAAUUGAUUAUAAAGUAGGGAAGGUAGUAUGAUGUAAUUUUUUUUUUAUUUUUUGAGAAGUAGUACGAUGUAAUUGUGAUGAAAUUCAAAAUAUUUAACUUCCGAAUGAUUUAGAUUGAAUCAAUAAUUGAGAUCUAUAAUAAAAGACAAUCAAAUGAUCAAUCUUCUCGCAUAAUGUACAAUAUUUAAUUUCCUAUCAAAAUCAAAAGUGGAUGGAAGGUCACUUUCUUCAAAAGUAGACGGAAGGACGAUAGAGGUUGCAGAAAUUAUUUUUGAAAUAUUAAUUAAAGAAAACUAGAGUGGUUCCUUUGUUCUAAUAUGAUAAUUUUGGACCUGCUUGUAAAGAGAGCAUUUGUAUUAAAAUUGUUUAAAGAAAAUACCAUACCAAUUUGUAAGCAAAUAAAACUUUGUAUGGCAAUUGGUAUAUUUAGCUUUAUUUGUAUUAUUACUAAUAUAAUAGGAGAAAAAUUAACGUUUUGCAGGAGGACCUUUACAAUCCCCACCCCAUGAUCCAAGACAUAUUAUGGGGGUGUCUUCACAAGAUUGGGGAACCUCUUGUAAAGAAAUGGCCUUUCUCUAAGCUGAGACACAAUGCUCUUAAAACUGUAAUGCAACACAUCCAUUAUGAAGAUGAGAAUACGCAGUAUAUUUGCAUUGGCCCCGUCAAUAAGGUAAUUUUCAGGACGAAAUUUAACCCACUUAAUGUAAAUUUUAAGCCUAAUCCCUUCAUAUUUACAGUUUUUAUCUUUUAGCCUAAAAAGUUUGUUUUUCUCUAUUAUACCUCCCAUUGAACCAAAAUUCUUAUUCUGCCAUUGGUCAAAUCAAAUCCAUUGUAAGCUUUUUUGGAAAAAUAAUUGUAUUUACAAAGUUUUAGAAUGGUUUUUGAUACAUUGGAAGCUAUUUUAGGAAUAUUAAUUAAUAAUGUAAGAUCAAUUAAUUACAUUUGAAGGAUCUUGAUCGGAUGAGUAUUGUCACGCACAUUAUAGUACGCAAUAGGACGCGUGUCAAUUUUUUAUUAGUAGGUUUAUGUUGUGGGCCCACAACCCCACCAAUGAAAUAGUAACAUGUGUCCGCACAUAAUAUCAGCCCACUACAUUUGAAUUGAUAAAUUGUCAAACCUUUGUGCAUACAUAGGUACUAAACAUGAUUUGCUGUUGGGUGGAGGACCCAAAUUCUGAGGCCUAUAAACGUCACCUCUCAAGAAUUAAAGACUAUCUCUGGCUUGCUGAAGAUGGAAUGAAGAUGCAGGUUGCAAUUAGUUAAACAGUUUUAUUUAGGAAAAAUUUAAUCAAUUUGGGAUUUUGAUAUUAAUUAUAAAAUCCUCAAUGACAGGGAUACAACGGGUCACAACUGUGGGAUGUAACAUUUGCAGUCCAAGCAAUCUUGGCCACUGAUCUUGUUGACGAAUGUGGUUCAACACUUAAGAAAGCCUUCAGUUUCCUAAAAAACACUCAAGUAUCUAUUAAUUUCACUUAAAAGAUCAAACCUUUAAACCUAUCUUUAAUCUUAAAUUAAAACAAAAUGUUAGCGGAUUUUCUUGUUCAUAAGUCAUGAUUAAAUUUGUCAAUUAAGGUUCGGGAAGAUUGCAGUGGUGAUCUUAAUUAUUGGUACCGCCAUAUUUCUAAAGGAGGAUGGCCUUUCUCCACUGCUGACAAUGGUUGGCCUGUUUUAGAUUGUACUGCUGAAGGAUUAAAGGUACAUUUCUUUUUCCCAAGUCUCUGUUUCCUGAGCCUAGAUGCUAUGUUGGCAUGUGGGUACUUAUUAAUUAAACCGAUAAAACUUCUUACGAUGGAAAGGUUGGUUCGAUUCAUGAUCAUACAGGCAGCAAUAUUAUUAUCACAAUUGCCAGCUGACAUAGUGGGAGAAGCAAUACAAGAAAAUCAGUUAUAUGAUGCUGUUAAUGUUAUCUUAUCCUUACAGGUACUUCAUAGGCAACGGUCUUAAAAUUGAUUAUCAACUAUUUAAUUUUGUCUUUCGAAAGAAAACAUAUCAGGUUUGUACAAAUGCAUGUCUUCUUAAUUGCAGAACAGCACUGGAGGCUUUGCAUCUUAUGAGCUAACAAGAUCUUAUGCAUGGUUAGAGGUGAGAAAAAUAUUUUCCUUUCAAUUAAUUGGGUCUAUUAACUGAGGAGUGAGGCAUUGAUUAAGUUUUGACAAGAUUUUAUUUGUAUUAAAUUUCAGAUGAUCAAUCCAGCUGAAACUUUCGGAGAUAUCAUUAUAGAUUAUCAGUAAGAUAACCAAAUUAAUUAAUUAUUCAAUUGAUUAAUUAGCAAUCAAAAUCUAUAAAAUACAAAUUUUCUAAGCUACAUUAAAAUGGAGAUAAUCAAUAUGUGCAAGUUAUGACAAACUAAAUUUAAGAGUAGUUAAAAUUAAAUUAGGUGUCUAAUUUAUUACAGGAGUUAUGGUCGCUCAUAUUUCGUGUAUAAUUUAGGUAUGUGGAGUGCACUUCAGCAGCAAUCCAAGGUCUAAAAUCAUUCAUGAAAAGCUAUCCAGGACACAGGAGAAGAGAAAUAGAAGCCUGUAUUGAAAAGGCCAUCGAGUUUAUUGAAAGCAAACAACAACCUGAUGGUUCAUGGUAUGUUUAACUUGUAUAUAAAUGUCAUGUUAAUUUAAAUAAAAGUUUCCUGUAUAUCACUCUCUAAUUAAAUAUUUAGGCAUCUUGAUUUUUAAUAUGUUAAGAAAUGUUAUGAUAAUUUGAAGUGAUUAUUUAUGAAUUUAGGUAUGGGUCGUGGGGAGUGUGCUUCACAUAUGGAACGUGGUUUGGAGUAAAGGGCCUGGUGACUUGCGGUAAAACAUAUGAAAAUAGCAAUAGCAUAAAAAGAGCAUGUAAUUUCUUGCUAUCCAAACAGCUUGAUUCUGGUGGGUGGGGAGAGAGCGAUCUUUCUUGCCAAAACAAGGUAAUUAACCCAAUUUUAAGUUUAUUAAGGAUAUCCAAGUUUGUUAUUUUCCCAGGAAAUUUUGGAAAAGAAAUUGUUGAUUGCAUAGAGGGAGAAAAAACCAUUAUAUUGAUUGUACCUUUUUAUUUUUAUUUUUAAACUGCUCUUGUGAAAUCUUUGAUAAGGUAUACACAAAUCUGGAAGGAAAUAAAUUACAUCUCGUAAACACUGCGUGGGCAAUGCUCUCUCUCAUUGAAGCUGGCCAGGUAUGUAAAUUAGUAAAUAUAUUCUUUAACUAGUUUCGAAUUAUAAUUAAUCAAAUCUUAACAAUAAUGACAAUUUUUAUUUUAUUUUAUUUACAUAAAUGGAUUAGGCUCAUAGAGAUCCAAUCCCAUUACACCGCGCUGCAAAGGUGCUCAUUAAUUCACAAAUGGAAAAUGGAGAUUUCCCGCAACAGGUAAAUCUGCAUACUAUAAAGAUUUCCCGCAACAGGUAAUUAAGUUAAAAAAAAAAGGAGAGAGAGAGAGAUAGAUAAUCAUUUUGAAUAUAAUAAUUGUAAGACUUGAAAGAUAAAACUACUAUAAUAAUUUUUUUUAAUAAUUACCUUUAUAUCUAUUUUUUCUUUUAUAGGAAAUCAUGGGAGUAUUCAACAAGAAUUGUACGAUAAGUUAUUCUGCUUACAGAAACAUCUUUCCCGUAUGGGCUCUUGGUGAAUAUCUCAAUCUCGUUUUGCUACCUUCCAAGAAUUGUUGAAUGUACCAAAAUCAAUGCGAUAAUGAUCUUAUACAUGGUCAAUUAAUAAAUGAAAAAUAAAAGCCUGAAUAAUUAAAUUAAUGUAAUACUCAAUUAGCUAGUGUUCCAAUGACUUGCUCUAUCAUAAAGUGCUUUAUUGGGUAAUCAAAACAAUUAUAUAUGCAAUGUAAUUAUUUGGGUGUAUGUUAAGCUCUUUCUCACACAAACAUUACGGCAUAUCUAUCUAUCUAUAUAUAUAUAUAUUAAGUUGGGACUUGAGGAGGUGAUGUGGAAUCACCAUUUCUCAUCUUUGUAUAUUAUCUAUUAUUUAAUAAAUAGAUAAAUUUUCUUUUAGAUUUGGCUUUUCAUCUUCUCAUAAUUAAUUUGAUUGUUAUUACACAAUAACAAUUAUGUAAAGAUUUUAAUGAGGCAUAUUCUUUGUAAUGAACAUCCAAGGGGGAGUGUUAUGAAUUUAUUAAAAUAAAUAUAGAUGUUCGUAACAUAUAUCUCUUAGUCUCCCCACUAUCUUCCAUUAGCAACCUUUAGCUUCCCUAUAACUCUCACUAUCUCACAAGGAAUUAUGAUCCAUAAUUUUUCAUUAAUUUCAUGGAGUGAUUAUGUAACUAUAAAAAGGAGAGCUCAUCUUUUUGUUUUGUACACACACAAUUGGAAUGAAUAAAAUCACUCUAUAAUAUAUUCUCUCAUUUUAUUCUUUAUCUUGCGUUGCUUCUUUAUUUGUAUUGCUGGCUAAUAAUUUUUUUUUUGUUUUUUAUAAGGCUGCCUCAUCUUAAAAAAAAAUCAAUUCAUAUUUUUUAUCAAUUUCAUCAAGUAUAAAGUAAGAAAAAAAGAUAAUACUAAAUUAUUUUUUCAAAGCCGCGUGAAGCGCGGUUCUAUUUUCUAGUUUAUUUAUAAAUAAGAAGAAGAUGGGCAUUAAUCUUCGCUGACAUAAGUGAUUAAGCCUUGAAUAAAAUAGCAAGCAAUAACUUUAAACUAAUUGCCACAAAAUAAUAACGAAUUUAAUCAUUAAAAGAAUAAUGGUAAUUUUAAUUACAAAGAAUUAAUUACGCUUAAGAGAAAUAAGGAGCUGGUUUCACCUCUCCUAAAAAUCUCAACAGACCCUAAAUCGCUACAUGGACAUGUAUUGAUGGCAACAAAGCCCAAGCUACAAUUAAUUUUAUGCUUUAAUUCAAUUUGAUGCAUCAAUCAGUUAUAAACAGGAGGAGCUCUUCCAUAUAAUGCUGGAACAAUAGCAGGGAAAAACAUUUGCCUCACUCCCUCCGCUUUGAUGAUAGGAAAAAGAAUUUCUGAUGCACCCUGCAGCAUAAAUAUGAUUUUUUUUUUCUUAUGAAUCAAAAAUAUUCCAGACGAUAUUUUAAUAAUCAGUUGUAAAGUAGUAGCCAGAUAAAAAGUCGCUUCUUCUCUUAAAUAUGAAUUGUGGCAAUAAAAUAUCAUUUUAUUUUUGUCAAUUAGUAUGUUGUAAAAUGCAAACGUCCCCAUCUGAUGAGAAUUUUGAUUAAGGAAAAUGCUUACCCAAAUUAGCUUAGCACCAAUCCACAGGCGUUUAGGCGAAGGAAAUGGUAAUAACAAACGACCAACACCAAAUAUUGCCAUUGCUAAGAAAUGGAAAAUUAAGCUUGAUGGGCGAGGGUUUAGGCCUGACAGUAGAGCCAUUGCUCCUGAUGUGUAAAUUCCUCCAAGCCCUAAAUAAUCAACACUUGCUUGCCGCAUUAUCUCUCUUGCCUCAUCAGAUGAUGAUGAAAACACUUGGUAAGCAGAAUUUGCCAGAGUGUUUAUUGUAGAUGCCACGGGCUGCAUGCAUGGAAAAAUAAUAUCAAUCACUGAUGCAGCGGAAGUUUAAUAUUCAAAAUAUUCCGUUGAUUCUAGAGAAUACCGGAACAAAAGAACAACUAAAUUCACGUUGAUUCAAAAGAAUACCGCGAAUUUAGGGAUUAAGACUCGUUGAUUCCGCAAAAUGCCGAGAAUUAACUGUUCAAAUACUCACAAAGAGAUUUGAAAAUUGAAAUAUUAUUAAACUCAAAAUUCUCUUCUUGUAAAAGCUACAAAAGACACUUAUUUAUACUAAAUAAGACUUAUCCUAAUAUGAUUAGAAAACCUAUUUUAAUAAGACUUAUGCCUAAAUUAGGAAUAUUACCCAAAUAAGCAAUACAUAAACAAUAAGACUCUAAAUAGGAAACCAAAUUAAACUAGAAUACAAAUUAAUUAAAAUAUUCCUAAAUAUUAUACAUUUAAAUAUAAUUAGGAUUUCUUCAAUUUCUUGCUCUGCAUCAUUCCCGCCAGGUUGGAGAAAAUUCGUCCUUGAAUUAUGUAUGUUGUAGUCUUCAAGAACAUCUUCAUGUGCAUAAAGAUUAAUUUUUAAAACAGAGCUUUGACAUAGACGAAAAACUUUAAAUUUUCCAACUUUUGUAAUAACGUCCAUCCAAUCACUCCAAUGGCGUAAAACAAAUUCUUCUAUCAACAACUUCUCCAAUAAUGUCUUCUCGUAUUGUUCGUGUCGAACUUCAACAUAGUUGAGGAAAAACGAUUUCUUCUCAUAAUCCACUAACUGUUGAAAAAUAUCACAACUCUUUUUGUCUUCUUUCGGCAAAUCAAGAGAACAAUAAGAGAUUGUAUCAACAACUAUCUCUCUCUCCUCCACAAGAUCAAAAGAUGGAUGAACAAUUACCUCUUCUCGUCCCACAAUAUCAAGAUACUCAUCAAAUUUCGGCGAUUGAUCCAAAUCAAUGUCUUUGUGUUGAGGAUUUGUUGUAGACAUGAAUGGCCAAUUAAUAUUCUCCUCGGAAGGAAUAAUAUUGUCGAAAGGAACAAAGUUACCAUUUUCCUCAUUAUCUUCAUAACAAACAUCAUCGUGAACAACUUCAUCAAAUCCAUAUGCAUGCUUUAUGUGUAAAAAUUUUCUAUCUCGAAUUUUCUCUAAAUCUUGAGAAAUUGAACGCAAAAUCCUCAACAUCUUAACUAAAACAUCUCUCAAGAUGAAAUCUUCACGUCGAUGUUGUGAUUUCAUGAUAUAAUUUUUUUCUUUUUUUUUCUAUGCUUUUUUUGGUGUUGUUUGGGUUUUUUUUUUUUAAAAACUAAACGGAAAAAAACAAAAAAGGAAAGGUUUGGUGGUAGAUGGAGUUAGAUUAGUGAUACCAGGUUUUGGCUCUGAUACCAAGCUGAUGCAGCGGAAGUUUAAUGUUCAAAAUAUUCCGUUGAUUCUAGAGAAUACCGGAACAAAAGAACAACUAAAUUCACGUUGAUUCAAAAGAAUACCGUGAAUUUAGGGAUUAAGACUCGUUGAUUCCGCAAAAUACUUAAGACUCGUUGAUUCCGCAAAAUACCGAGAAUUAACUGUUCAAAUACUCACAAAGAGAUUUGAAAAUUGAAAUAUUAUUAAACUCAAAAUUCUCUUCUUGUAAAAGCUACAAAAGACACUUAUUUAUACUAAAUAAGACUUAUCCUAAUAUGAUUAGAAAACCUAUUUUAAUAAGACUUAUGCCUAAAUUAGGAAUAUUACCCAAAUAAGCAAUACAUAAAUAAUAAGACUCUAAAUAGGAAACCAAAUUAAACUAGAAUACAAAUUAAUUAAAAUAUUCCUAAAUAUUAUACAUUUAAAUAUAAUUAGGAUUUCUUCAAUUUCUUGCUCUGCAUCAAUCACCGAUGCACACACUUAUAUUCGACAGACAGUGACUCAAUUUGACAGUUACCUUGCGUAAGGUGUAAAAGGAUUCGAGAUAUUGGUUAAGAGAAGCAGCAUCGUGAAAAUCCUGAAGAGGCUUUAUAAGAUUUCUAAGUACGACGACGUCAGAGAGAGCCACAGUCAUUCCCCCACCAGUUAAAGGAUGGCGCAUGUUGAAAGCAUCACCCAACAAAAGGGCUCCGGGGGUAGGUUUGGGAGCCGCCGGCAUGCUUCUGUUUGUCGCUGUUCUAAUGCUGCCUUUCUCAACUUUUGAAAUGAAUGCAUCGCGAAGCUCAUCAGGAAUCUGAAACGAACAACAGUGCUCAUCAUGUAACUAUGAUUAGCUUCACAAGGGAUUCCUAAUACUUUUCGUUAACUGUGUAAUUUAACAUUCAAUAAAAUAGCCAACCAUAAACGCAUGUGUGGCAGAAAAUUCAAGAAAGAUUAACACAUGCAGCUUAACUCAACACUGGAUACAAAUUCGAAAAAUGUACCUGCGGUGCCACUUUGGUCUUCAAGUAUUUGGCCAUUUCACCAUUGGCAAUUGAAGGUAAUUUCUGACCAGCUGGUACAUCAACCAAGCAUCUAACUUCUGAGCUACUAAUUGGAUAAAAUAAGAUGGGUGAGGGAUCUGCUAAAACUACGUGUCCGUGAUUUGGGACUGGAAGCUGACAGUUCUCCAAUGCCAUACCGACAAAACAUGAUGGUAUAUCAACCUGUUAAAACAAGUCAAGUUCGAUACUAUCGAUAUUUAUUAGGAUAAACAAAUUAAGGAGACUUAUUUGCAGCCAAUAAAAUAAAAUAAAAUAAAAUACGAAGGAAAAUUUCACCUUUGGAUUGCAAAGAGACCGACGCAGAUUGGAGAAGCCACCGUCAAAUACAAUUGUAAGAGGAGCGCAAGAUUUGUGUUCUUGACCGUCCUUAGUUUUGUAAUGAACCCCUUUCACAAUUCCAUUUUCUUGAAACAGGGAUGUCACUGUCCCUUCCUCCAUCCGUACACUGAAUUGAUCAUUAAAUUGUCAAACGCCAAUUGUUUUUGUUUUUGUUAAAAAUCUGGAGCAAUCAAUGCAUUGUAUUUGAUUGUUAAUAUAAUCUAUGCAGAUAUUCGCACUUGAGAAAAGUAAAAAAUAUUAUAUGCACGUACUUGGAAAGAGAAGCAGCUUUUUCUCUCAUUCUUUGAAUGAACCGGCCAUUGUGGAAACUCCUGCCGGCAACGUUAGCCUGAAAGUUUCCCAGUGGAUAAGGAGUUUUUGUAAUUUUUCCGUCCUUGAACAGAGCGUAUCCAACUACAGGCUGGGCAUCGAUUUCUUCCACACAAUCUGCAUUCAUUCAGAUAAUUAAAACAAGUACAAUAGUGUUAAUUAAUGAAACUUGUAGUAAUUAAUUAGUUAUGUUAUUAUAUAUAUACCAUCAAGGCCUAAUUCAACUAGUUUCAGGUAUCCUCCAGGCUGUAGCAAUUCACCAACAAUUCUAUCAGGCUCCGUCAGGUCUCUUUCGAUCACAUGAACUCUUCUUCCAUCCUGCAUAUCAAUUUAGUUUAUGUUAAUUGAAAUUAAACAAACCCAAAAAGCCAAAAAAAAGAAAAAAAGGAAUUACGUACGUACCUUGCCAAGGGCAUGGGCUAGAGCAGCACCAGCAACACCAGCACCAACAAUGAUAACAUCGGGGCCGGAAACAUUCUCCGGCAGAGAAUGUUCGUUAUCUGCGGAUGUCAAAACGACGUCAUUUUCCAUCUUGUUGUAAUUCUUUCUGCUCUUGGGUAACUUCUUCAUCUUGUUAGGGCGCAAAAUUAUGAGAAGAAGCAAGCCAAUAAGAGAAGUAGCAAAGGAAGUGCCAAUGAACUGAUCAAUCAUCAACACCAUUCUUUUUUCGGUUAUGAAUUCAGACAAAUGUCUGCGAACAAUGAAUGCAAUAUCUUGAUUGUCUUUCUUGAUUUGUUGGUAAGCUUUUGAUUCGAUGAGUGAUUGUGAGCAGAGGCCAUAGAGGCUUUAUAAAUAGAAAGAUCACAUGCGGGGCGGUGGUGUUUUUGGUAAAGAGAACUUCAAUGCCAAAUUGUAACUUCUGCAAUAUCAACUGCUUUUUGAGUCAGCAGCCAGCUACGACGACUGGGCCUUCAGUGACUCUAAACUCAUCAUGUUUCCUAUUACUCAUUUUUUUAUUAUCACUAAAAUGGAAUCUUGCUAAGUCAAUUAAUACAAAAUUUUACAUCAAUUUAAGAAGGGAAAUUAUCAUUACACCACUUUUAUUUUGCUUUAUAUUCAUCCAACCACUACAAAAUUUUAAUAUGUAUUUUGCACUACUUUUUUUUUUUUUUCACAUUUGUAUCAACUAACCACUUUUGCAUUAACACUAUUAAAUAAUUUUAAUAAAAUGAUAAUUUUACCCCCAAAUAAAUUAAAAGACCAUUUUAUUUUAUAAAAACUUUAAAAAUAAUAAAAUAUAAUGAUAAAAAUAUCCCUAAAUUUAAUAAAAAUAAAUCCCAAAAUUAGAAUUUUUAUUUUUAAUAAAAAUUAUUUUAAUAUAAAAUUAUAAUUAUAAAAAUAAUUGCAAAAUUUUGGGAUUUAAUAAAAAUUCCCUAAAUUAUUAAAAUUUUAGGAUUUAUUCUUUUAAGAAAUAAAUUCAGUUAUUUUCAUAAAAUUUUACAAAAUUAUAAUUUUUAAUAAAUAAAUUCAUUUAUUUAUAUGAAAAUUUUGUAAAAUUCUAAUUUUUAAUAAAAAUAAUUAUUAAAAUUUUGUAAAAUCUAAAUUUAGUAAAAAUCAGUUGAGCACCUCUAUUUGGGAUUUAUUUUUUAUUAAAUUUAAGGAUAUUUUUUAUGAUUAUAAUUUUUAAUUUUAAAAGUUUUUAUAAGAUAAAAUAGUCUUUUAAUUUAUUUGGGGGUAAAAUUGUUAUUUUAUUAAAAUUAUUUAAUAGUGUUAAUGCAAAAGUGGCUAGUUGAUACAAAUGUGAAAAAAAGGUGGUGCAAAGUACAUGUUAAAAUUUUGUAGUGGUUGGAUGAACAUAAGGUAAAAUAAAUGUGGUGCAAUGAUAAUUUCCCAUUUAAGAAUCGUAAAAAAAUUAAUUGUGAAAAAUAUAGAAAUUCAAGCCCAUUUUAAAUUUAUGACCACACUAUAUUUUUUUCACAUAAAAUAAACUAAUAAGAAAACCGGCUUGUACACUUAAAAAUUAUUAAAAGAUAAAUUUUGCUAUAAUCCUUAGCGUUUGGGUCAAUUAUUCUAUUAGUCCUUAUAUUUUCAUUUCAAAAUAUCAAGAUUGUUCUUUCUAUCACUGUUUGAUCUAAUUUUUUUAAGAACAAAUUUAAUAUGCUACAGGUGAAAAGUAGAAAAUAAUUAAGUAUAUUUUAAAUAUUAAAAAUAGAUACACAAGAAAACAUUUUAGGAAGCUUAUAAAAUACAAGAAUUACCAAACCCUUAAGGAAUAAAGCAAAACUUUCCUUUAUUAAAAUUAAUAAAAGUUGAUAUAUGGAAUAUUGAGAACGAGUAUCGUAUUGUACAUAUAUUUGUACCCUUUAUUCUCCUUGUUGCUUGACGACAAAGGACCACGGCCAUGACAAAAUAAGUUAUAAUUACCGUCGAGUUCAAGUCUUUAUGAUUGUGAAAAUACCACCAAAACAACGAACUAUUUGCGAAUCUAUGUAUUGAUAAAUAAAAGGAUUUUUCUAUCUGGAAAUGCACUCACUUGGAGGCUGAAACUAAGGGAGUUACCAGAGAAGAUAUGUUGAGUGUUAUGCACAGAUUAGUGGGUACGCUGGCCAAGAUUGAGCUUGAUUUUGUAGCAGCUAUAUGGUGAUUUACGUGGCAUGUAAGGAACAAACUCGUCAUUGAGGGAAGAAAUCAAACCCCAUGUUUUCAUCUACUAAGGGUAAAACAGUCAUGGAUGUUAGAACAAAAAAAUAAUAAUAAUAAUAAUAAAAACCAUUACCUACAAUCCAUGAACAUUCAUGUUGUACCAACAAGAAUCAAUAACAAAUUAUGCAGAAACAUACAUGAAUCCAUAACACUAAAUUGCUCUUUAGGAUUGUGUGGUUGGCCUUUCAGAUCAACACGUUCUCCUAGUGAAUCCUUUGAUAUCAUAUGCGCUCUCUCUCUGAUGACGGUAUGUCAGUAGAGAAUAGAAUGAUAAAAGUGACCUAAGGAUCAUAACCACUUAUAUAGACAACUUUUUUCUGUUGUCGUUAGGUAUUCCUAAUUUUGUCCAUAAUAGAGUUAGAAUACAAUUAGGUUUCUACACAUUAAAAGCCCACACCCCGUUAGAUACAUUAAAGGGCAUAAUACCAAACACCUUAAUAGAUCACUUUUAACUGGGCUUAAUCUUAUAUAACAGUUGCAAUACAUAAUUAUUCACUUAUAAGCUCGACGUUGGAUUAAAGAUCCAACAAUGCUGAAUUAAAAAUCCAACAAUGGAUGCUUAUCAAAAAGUGAAGGUGAGGGAACAAAAUUGCAAAAAAAAAGCAAAUAAGAUAGAAAACUGCAGGAAUAGAGUCCACCACCUAUCAAUUGCUUAAAAGUCAAUGUUGAUGCUGUUGUCCAUAAAGAUAAGCAAGUUGCAAGUCUAGGGGAACUCACUAGGCCAAGUGAUAGCUGCAGCAAUGAAAACAUAAAAUUUCAAGGGAAUAUUUCUCUUGUAGAAACUCAAGCUGUCAAAUAGGGGAUAGAGGUGGCAAAAGAGGCAAGCCUCACAGAUGCGAUUUUUGAAACAAAUUGCAGUGAAUUGGCUGACUUAACCAACAACAAAACCAACAAUAGAACAAAAAUUUGGUGGACUAUAUCAUAGAUUCAAAGAAGCAAACAAGAUUUUCAAUCGGCAAUAGUCCAACAUGUACCAAAGUAUUGAAAUAUUCUUGCUCACUCUCUCACUAAAAGAGCUUUUAGAAGCUCGAAAUAUGUCAUAUGGCUGGAUGGAUUCCCAGCUAAUAUAUUGUAUUUGUUUUUUUUUGUAAUCUCAAAUGAAUGAAAGGGUUACUUUAAUUUCUUCUAAAAAAUAAAAAAAGAUUUUUCUAAGUUACAUGUAUUUAAACUUACAUUCAAAUUUUUUUAGUUUAAAAAUGAGUAAUAAAAUAGUGGAGUCUGAUGGGGCCUAUGAGUGAAUUUUACUUAGCUAUAAGUUACAAUAAACAUAACUUAAAGUGACUCUGAAUAAAAUCGAUAUUGUUUUUUUUUGUAAUCUCAAAUGAAUGAAAGGGUUACUUUAAUUUCUUCUAAAAAAUAAAAAAGAUUUUUCUAAGUUACAUGUAUUUAAACUUACAUUCAAAUUUUUUUAGUUUAAAAAUGAGUAAUAAAAUAGUGGAGUCUGAUGGGGCCUAUGAGUGAAUUUUACUUAGCUAUAAGUUACGAUAAACAUACUCCUUGGAUUGUCAAUAUUUACAUUUUAAGUAAUUCACACUACUUUUGUGUCAACUUUAAAUUCUAUUUAAUAUAGUAACUUUGCAGUAGCCAUUCACCGCUAAAAAAAAGUAUUAUUUUAUGGAAAAUGUUUGGUGUAAAGAAAGAUGAGAGAAAGAUUGGAGAAAUAAAGAAGAAAAGGGAAGAGAGAGUGGGUGAGUAGAGAGAAAGAAGACAAAUUUCUCUCAUAUUUCUCUACACCUAGCACUACUCUUAUUUUAUUGUUAUAAUUGCAGAAAUGUAGCUAGUCUAUAUAUAAUAGAGCAAGCUAUUUGUGAGUCUAUGUAAGUUUAAAUAAAAUUGAUACCAUUCAACUCUCAGGAUUUUCACUAUUAAUGUUUUUAAACCGUUCAUAUACUGAGACUCUGUUUUGGUUCAAGUCUUAAUAAGCGAAAAAAAAUAAUUCUCGAGAUUCAUUAAAAAAUAAAAAAUAAACAAAAUUGAUCUCUAAUAGAACUACAAGUUUUAGAUUGAUCAAUUGAUGAUGAUUCACUUUUUUGUAGUCAUAUUAUCCAACCUAAAUAUCCUCUAAAAUAAAAUAUAGAAAGGAGGAUGAGAAAAUUUGGUCCCAUCUACUUUGGGGAAUGAUCACUUUCCAUAUUUACAAAAUGAUCAAGAUUUUUGCCAUAUUUUUGUACAUAAUAGUUAUAAUUCUUGGCAUACAUGUGCAUGUGCAUGCUAUAUCUUCUUGAUUCUUAUCAUACAAGCACCACCUAAGGGUCUUGAUGGUUAUAAUAUAUAUCACAUAAUAAAAUUGAUUCCUGUCAUAUAUAUUUACAUCCCAUGUCAAAAUGCCAUGAUUAAAAAGGAUCUUCAUGUGAUUCCUAGAAAUGAUCAUUUAAAUUUAAGCAAGUUGUUUUACAAAUUCAUGAGACUUCAACAUAAGGAUACGCUGGAAACAAUUAAUGAAGUUCUUCAUUAUAUGCAUGAUGUGCAUCCGGUCGAUUUAGAUUGUCACAAAUUAAAAAAUAACGACAACGAUUAUAAUUUUUUUUUUUUGAAUUGAUCGAAUACAAAAAAGUAAUUUUACAAAUUAAAGAAUCACGCUUGAGAUAAUUAAAGAGCACCCCUCGUAAAAAUCUCAAGUAACACACCCUUAAUCACUUUAUGGACACGUAAUUGAUAGCAACAAAACACGAUUAAGAGACAUUAAUGUCAAUAAACAGGAGGAGCUCUAUACAACGCCGGAACAGUAGCAGGGAAAAACAUUUGCCUCACUCCCUCCGCUUUGAUGAUGGGAAAAAGAAUUUCUGAAGCACCCUGUAAGAAUAUGAAAAAGAAUUACUUCUCUCCUACAAAUAUUUGGACUUUACAAAAUACAAAUUGUGGUUAUAUAGUAUCACUUUAUGUUUACUCCAAUUAAUAUUUUGUAAAAUACAGGUAUCCGCGCCAGAUGAGAAUUUUGAUGAUAGAAAAUACACGUACCCAAAUUAGCUUAGCACCAAUCCACAAGCGUUUAGGCGACGGAAAUGGUAGUAACAAACGGCCAACACCAAAUACUGCCAUUGCUAAGAAAUGGAAAAUUAAGCUUGAUGGGCGAGGGUUUAGGCCUGAGAGUAGAGCCAUUGCCCCCGAUGUGUAAAUUCCUCCAAGCCCUAAAUAAUCAACACUUGCUUGCCGCAUUAUCUCUCUUGCUUCGUCAGAUGAUGCUGAAAACACUUGAUAAACAGAAUUUGCCAGAGUGUUUAUUGUAGAUGCCACCGGCUGCAUGCAUGAAAGAAAACAAUUUUAUUUUGCAAACGACAAGAAGUGAAAUAUAAUUGCCGUGAAGUUGUUCAUCAUUGUGGUUAUGAUAUAUAAUUGCUGUGAAGUGAUAUAUAAUUUUGGUUCCUUUAAAAUUCAAGCACUAAAAUUUAAUCCAGUCUGCACCUGCUUAUUUUGUUCACCCAAAGCUUCAAACACUGGCCUCACCAAUGCUACAAAUACCCCAUCAUCACUCUCAUCCCCAUGAUUACUCAAUUUCGAAGCCAAAACUCCCAUUGUUUCCACACAAGCAUCCCUCACAACAGAAUCCGAAUCCUUGAGUCGCUUAACAAUGCUAGCAACCAUUUUAUUGACAUGCGGCCCAAUAAGAGCUUGAUGAAACUUAGCUAAUGUACCCAUCAAUCUAACACAUUCCUUUCGAACUGCACUCUUCUGUUCUGAAUCGGUGUCCAAAAUACACGAAACAAAUGGAGCAAUCUUCUCUGAGGUUAAACAUUCAGCCAAUUUGUCAAGCUCCUCGACCCCUAUUUGAUAAGUAUCUCUAUCAGCUAGCUUGUUUAGUGCAAGAAUCACUUUAUGCUUAAGCUCAAAUGAGACUUGUUGUACAUUAACCCUAGAAGCUCCCCUUCCUUUCAUCUGUGAAUUUGCCUUCAUCUUGCUAAAUCACCAAAUCGUUCCUAAAAUGAGUAAUUUUUUUCUCUUAUGAAACCAUCGGUGCUACAAGAAUGCAAAUGAAUAAGGAAUUUUUCAUAAUAAUAAGUAAAUAAAUAAUAAAAUAACACCGUAAAUGACAACAUUUUCUAUUUUCAUAAUUUCUUCAAAAUUUACUCUACAGCCUACACUGUCGAGAAUUGAGCAUAAAGUAAAUUUAACAAAAGAAUUAAGGAAUCGACGAACUUACAGAGAUAGGGCGAGCUUAAACCACAAAGACUGAGACCAGCAUUACCAUGGAUAAAAAUUCUUGAGAACUGAAAAAAUUAAAUUAAAAUGAUAAUAGAGAGAUUGAAUCAUUGAAAUACUCAAAAUUAAAAUAAUAAAAUAAUUGAAAGGCGACAAUCUCAGAGAACUUGAUGCAGAUAUCGAGAACUCCUCACCUCUCUUCGCUGUGAAUCCUUAAGAGAGAGAGUGCGUGAGAUUUUGUUUUUUCUGUUUUGGCUUUGAAUUUUGCGCGCUUACUCUGUAUUUCGAAUUUCAGGAAGCCUAUGAGCGUGGGUCAAGUUAGUUCCGUUUUAUCUAGCAAGAACUUUCAUGCGAUGGUAAAGCUCUGAACCUAUUGAGAGACAGAAAAAGCUUGAAAGUGUUACCUGCAGCAGAUCCAUCGUGUCGAACUUCAACAUAGUUGAGGAAAAACAAUUUUUUUUCAUAAUCCAUUAAUUGUUGAAAAAUAUCACAACUCUUUUUGUCUUUUUUUGACAAAUCAAGAGAACAACAAGAGAUUAUAUCAACAACUAUCUCUCUUUCCUCCACAAGAUCAAAAGAUGGAUGAACUAUUACCUCUUCUCGUCCCACAAUAUCAAGAUACUCAUCAAAUUUCGACAAUUGAUCCAAAUCAAUGUCUUUGUAUUGAGGAUUUGUUGUAGACACGAAUGGCCAAUUAAUAUUAUCCUCGGAAGGAAUAAUAUUGUCAAGAGAAACAAAGUUACCAUUUUCCUCAUUAUCUUCAUAACAAACAUCAUCAUGAACAACUUCAUCGAAUCCAUAUGUCUGCUUUAUGUGUAAAGAUUUUCUAUCUCGAAGUUUCUCUAAAUCUUGAGAAAUCAAACGUAAAAUCCUCAACAUCCUAUUUAAUACUUCUUUCAAGAUAAAAUCUUCACGGCGAUGUUGUCGUUUCAUGAAUCAAUUUUUUUUUUUUUUAAGAUUUGAAGCUAAACGGAAAAAUCAAAAAGGGAUUAGAAAACCUAUUUUAAUAAGACUUAUGCCUAAAUUAGGAAUAUUACCCAAAUAAGCAAUACCUAAACAAUAAGACUCUAAAUAGGAAACCAAAUUAAACUAGAAUACAAAUUAAUUAAAAUAUUCUUAAAUAUUAUACAUUUAAAUAUAAUUAGGAUUUCUUCAAUUUCUUGCUCUGCAUCACCUUACAUCUUUUCCCCUUAAGAAUUUUUGGUUGUCUUCUUUUUAAUUUCAUAUUCAGAUUAAUUCUCAACCGCGAUACAUUAAACCCAAAUUUCUUUUUUCCCAUCCAUAAAAUAGAGUUGUUAACAUUGCAAUGCAUUUUGUGAAACCGACGUUUCCUAUUACAAAAAUACAUAACCAGUUUCAAAGGUUGCCAGUCAAGUUCUCAUUUAAAAUUUAUCUAACUCCAACCAUUAGAUUCAAUCAUUUUUAAUCCAACAGUUUAUCUGAAUGAAGAGAAAUAGUAUCGUAUGUUGCAACGCAGGUGACCUGUAUAGAUAUAUAUGAUAGGACUUUUUUUUAAUUAAAUUAGUCUAAUUCUUUAUUUGGUGCUAUAAAGAUAAAAUCUUAGGAUCACACUAUUUAACCCUGGUCCCACGUUUUUAAUUUUUAUGAAGCAAAAUAAAAAUUUUAUCCAAUGAUAAUUGUAAGGAUAGCUUUGUAAAUUUUUUUUUUCAUGUUUACAAGUAAUUGUAGAAUAACUACGCUAUAAAAUAUUUUUAAAUAUUAUUAUAUUAUAUUAUCAUAUUGAUAUUUAAAUAUUUAUUUACUUUAAAUUUUUUUAUUUUACUUAGCUAAUAAUAUAAAUGUUGGAAUUUCUAAAUUACACACACACACACACAAUAUUCAGUAGUUUUUUUAUUUAAUAAUUUGAAUAUUCAUAUUAAAAAAAUUUAUGUUCAUAAAUGUACUCUUAUAAAUAAAUAAAUCAAUACUAGUAUAUUUCAUUUUCUUCUAAAUUAGUUUAGUACAAUCCUAGGAUAUGUUUGACAUGCAGGAUUGAAUUCAACUAACUACUAAAAUUAGAUUGAACUAUAUUAGAAUUGAAUAGAGUGAAUUAUAUGUAGUAUUGUCUUUUGUUUGUUAUAAUAUCAUGAGUAUGCUAAAUUUAAUUUAAUAAAGCUAAAUAACUAUUUAAACAGUACAAUUAUUUUAAAUUAUAUUACUACUUGUUAAAUUUAAUAUUUUGUAAAUAAAUUAUUGAAUAUAAUUUUGAUAUUUACUCUUAUAUUAAAUACUAGUGUCAACAAAUUGUUGAAUUUAAAUUUGAUAAUUAGUAUAAUAUAAAAUUUUGGUUUAAAUAAAAAUGAAAAGAGUGAUAAAGAAGAUUUUAUCCUACUUACAUUAAUAACCUCAUUACGGAUUAAAUUUUGGACUAAUCAACUAAUUUAGACAGCCAAACAUGCCCAAGAUUGGAUUAAUUUUUUAUUUUGUCCCAAAAAUUAGUCCAAUCCUAUCUUAAGUUUAGUUUAGUACAAUGGUAUAGUAUACUAAACACGAGAUAAAACCAAAUCUAAUAUAAUCUAAUCUUAUCAUAUCCUUCCAAAUACAACAUAAUUUUACAUAUCAUCCAAUCAUAUCUUAUGUUAUUCCAUCCUAUCCUAUACUAUCUUACGUGCCAAACACAUCCUAAUUGUUACUUGUGGAUAUUAUGUUGCCACUUUGAUGAAACGGACGUCAACAUGACAAUAUCCCAUCGCGUAAAUCUUAAAACUGUAGGCUAACAUCUUAAGAAAAGGACAGUGUGGACUGCGUUAUAUAUAUAUAUAUAUAUAAUUUGCGAAGAAGAGCUUUCACAUAAAACGAUUUCUUUAGAGGAAGAAGUUUUUGAAAUUUCUUUAGAAACAUGUUUUUCUUUCUCAGGAACUUGAGAAAGAGCUUUAGUUUGAGAAAUAUUUUGUAAGGCGAGCAUAAGCUCUGGAGACUUUGUAAUAGAAUUCAUCCAUUCUUUUACCUGAUCUUCGGAGGUAAUGGCUUUAUAUUGUGCUUCAUGUUCUUCAACCAUUUCAAUCCAAGAUUUGAUGGGUAUGGCAGAAGAAAGUAAUUUUUCUUUAGAGGGGGUUGAAAGAGGUUCUUUGGAGGUUGCUUGUGACUCAGUGUCUUUAAGAACAGCUUUACCUUUAUCUUUUUUCUUGGGCGGCAUUAUCUGUUUUGAAGAAAUAGGAUCGAAGGGUGGAAGUGAUUAAGCAGAAUUCAAAAUUUCAAACUUUAAUGCAAGUGAUUAAUAGGAAUCUAUUAAGUACUUUAUUUAGUACGUGACGUUGUUUCCAGAUCGAUGCAGAACUUAAUCUGCCUUUGUGACCAGAUCUGACUUAGAACAUAUCAAUAUCACGUACGUUCUGUUUUCCAGCCGAUAUACUAAAAUAUUUUAUUGGUCUUUAUUCAAACUUAGCAACAAAAUCUAAAGGCUCAUAAUUAAUACUAGAUCUGGAUCCCAGAAAUAGUAUUAUGAUUUAUUGGAGGGAGAAGAGAAAAUACGGCCAAGGGAGAGAUCUGGUCUCUAUGCCUUGGAAGAAUGUAGCAGUAUAUAGAAAUUUAAAUUGCAGAAAUUUAAACAUACAUUUGAAACUUUAAAUAGAUUAAAUGAGAGAUGCGUACAUAUAUUGCUUGAAUCCGAGAGCUUUACAAUCGAAAGUCUUUACAGAUCUUGUAGAAAGGGAAAAUAGAAAGGGAAAAUUACAAGACAGGAAUUAUUUUCCUUGAUGUCUUGAUCCUGAUUUCCCUGGAGAGAGAGAGAGAAUACAAAUGUUGUGUAAAAUAAAAACUCUGCCUCUCUAAUGUUACAAAGCUUUGAAUUUAAACUAGCUGAAGUUUGAACUGUGGCGAGUCUGUAGCUUCAACUGUAGCGAAACUGUAGUUUUACAAACAUGGUUGGUGAGUGGAGACAACAUGAUGGUGAAAGGACUUAGCUUUAUUGGCUUUUGCUGUAGCUUCACAUGCGUAGAUGUUGGAGCGGAAUCGGCAAGACAUGUGGGGGACAACAUCUUUUCUUCUUUACAAUUAUGAAAGAAAACAAAAAUGGGUGAAGAGACAUGUGCACUCUCACUUGUGUCCAGGGGACCAUUGAAAGGAAAAUACAAAUUUAAUAAUUACAAGAAUUUACAUAAGUGAAAAUUGCAGAAAAAUAUAGAAAAUGAAGACAAUCGUUACUCUUUUUUUUUAAAAAAAACUUUAAUGUUUUAAUGGGGAGAAAAUUCCGAAGCAAUCAUCUUCAUUUUCAUCUCCGAGGGAGAUGAACGGUUCAGCUUCUCCAGAGGAGCUUGAUGAAGAACUUGCAGCAGAUGUCUCUGAUCUUGUGGCAAGAAGUUGUUGCAUUACUUUGAAAUAUUCAUCCUCGGUUUUGGCACUGGCCAGCAGAAAUUGGGCUUUUGCUCUCUGGGCAAGGAAAGUGCAUUGGGCUUUGGUGACGUCUUUACUUGGGGCAAUGAGGCCUCUUGUAGAGAGUCAGGAUUGGACCGUGGCUUAAGACAACUUUGACUGUUCAUCAAAUUUAGACCACCAUUUGACUUUGAAGGUUCUUUGUAAGACUAGUUGGGUGUCUAAGGUGUGGUAUUAUAAAUUCCACAUCCAAACCCUGGGUAGGAAAAAGUUUGUACAGAAACAGAAAAAAUGAGGAAACCUCUUCUCAGACUCAGAAGGAACAUAAUGGGCUUUAAAUAAAUUUAAACAUUUAAUGGCAUUUUGGGUUAGAAUAUCGGGGCUUGGCCCAAAAUAGUUCCUCCAAAUUUGGAACCAAUUUGGAAGGCUUUGGAUGAUUAUUUUUGAAUUGAAGAAAAAUAACCAAGAGUGGGACUUUUUCAGAUUUUGGAUAAAAAAAUGUGUUAAACCAGGCCUGCUGAUAAUCCCAAUAGGAGAAAGAUAAGCAGUGGUUUAAACGUUUUUAAAAAUUGGCGGGAAAAAUUUUUGGUUUGUGGAGUUGGUCACCCUACUGAUUUGGACUUAAGACUUUAAGAAUGGUAGCCGUGGAAUAGACUGGCUCAGAAUGAGCUUCACUAAGGAAAAAAUGUUUAAAUUUUACUGACUCAGUGAACUCAAGUAUGCUUUGGUAGAAAGACUGGGGUUUGGAUAAAUCCCAUGGUUUGAAAAAUCAGCCUUUCGGGAAAAUCUUUGAAACUGCUUGAAAUGGAUUAGAAUGAUAAAACCCAUCCUCCAUAAUUAAAACAUUUUGUUGAUAGGCUUUAUGAAACCAAUCCGAAGAUUUCUUGUGAAAGCUUUGAUUGAGAAACAAUAAUUUGCGAAGAAGAGCUUUCACAUGAAACGAUUUCUUUAGAGGAAGAAGUUUUUGAAAUUUCUUUAGAAACAUGUUUUUCUUUCUCAUGAACUUGAGAAAGGGCUUUAGUUUGAGAAAUAUUUUGUAAGGCGAGCAUAAGCUCUGGAGACUUUGUAAUAGAAUUCAUCCAUUCUUUUACCUAAUCUUCGGAGGUAAUGGCUUUAUAUUGGGCUUCAUGUUCUUCAACCAUUUCAAUCCAAGAUUUGAUGGGUAUGGCAGAAGAAAGUAAUUUUUCUUUAGAGGGGGUUGAAAGAGGUUCUUUGGAGGUUACUUGUGACUCAGUGUCUUUAAGAACAUCUUUACCUUUGUCUUUUUUCUUGGGCGGCAUUAUCUGUUUUGAAGAAAUUCCCUGGUCAGAAAAUCAGAGAUAGAAUUUGUAUCACCUUUAAUAAAUUCGAUAUCAAAAUAAAAAACACUCAAAAUGGCUUGCCAUCUUGCAAAAAUCUGUUUUGAAGCAAUAUUUUGAACUUUUUUUUUCAAAACAUGUUUUGCAGCUUUGCAAUCAAUUCUGAGUAAAAAUUUUUUAUUUAAUAAAUCACUUUGAAAUUUAGAUAUACAUAAAACAAUAGAAAGAAUUUCUUUUUUAAUAGUAGAGUAAUUUCUUUGACAUUCAUUCAAAUGAGCAUAAACAUACUGUACUAUUUGUUCUUUAUUAUUAUGGACUUGCUUUAAUAUUCCUCCAUAACCUAAAUCUGAUGCAUCAGUUUCGACAACUUUAGGUAAUGCAGGAUUAGCAAGAAAUAAACAUGGAAUAGCUUUAACAGAAUUUUUUAUGAGUUUAACAACUUUAGUAUGUUCAUCAGUCCAUGCAACAUGAUUCUUUUUUAACCUAUCAUGUAGAGGUUUUGACAUCCUAUUGAUGUUUGGACAAAAAUCAAGAACAUAAUUUAAACUACCUAAGAAUCUUUGUAAUUGGGUUUUAUCAAGGAUUCUAUCAGGGAACUUGUCAGCAAAGACAAGAGAUCGCUCAAUAGGAGUAAUAGUUCCUUUGAAAAUGUAAUGACCUAGGAACCUGAUCUUUGUUUGAAACAAAGAAACUUUAGAACUAGAAAUAGUUAAGCCAGCGUUUCUAGUGGCAAGGAAGAAAGUCUUUAGAUGCUUAAAGUGUUGGUCAAUAGUUUGGGAAAAGAUCAACACAUCGUCAAUAUAAACAAUGCAAAAUUCAGAAAAAGGGUUAUAAAUAUCAUUCAUAAUUCUUUGGAAUUCUGAAGGUGCAUUUUUUAAACCGAAUGGCAUUACAGUCCAUUCGUACUGUCCAAAAGGAACAGUAAAAGCAGUUUUAUAACGGUCUUUAGGGUGAAUUUGAAUUUGCCAAAAUCCAGAUUUCAUAUCAAAUUUUGAAAAAAUGAAAGCAGCAUGAAGUUUCUGGAGCAAAUCCUUUUUAUUAGGUAUAGGGUACCUAAUCCAUUUUAAUGCUUUAUUCAGGGGUUUGUAAUUUAUGACUAAUCUGGGUGUUCCUCUUUCUAUUUCAGAAUUCUUGUUGACAUAGAAAGCAGCACAAGACCAAGGAGACCUAGAUUUGACAAUGAGGCCUUUAGAUUCUAAAUCUUUUAUUUCUUCUUUGCAGUGUUGUUCCAAUUCCAUGUUCAUUUGGAUUGGACGGGCUUUGGUAGGUAUUUGUUUUUCAUCAAAGGAACUUUCAUAAGGCAAAUCUACCAAAUGUUGUUUUCUAUUCCAAAAAACAGAUGGUAAAUCAGCACAUAUUUCUCUUUCAAUGAGGUCUUUUAAAUCAGAGAUUUUUCUUUUUACAAAUUCAUUACGUAAUUGGUUUUCGAUUCUUUGUAGACUCAAAUCCUUUUUUAAACAAAGUAAGUCAUUUUGUUUAGAUUUGAGAAGGGCAUUGAUUUGGUUCUGAUAAACAGAACAAGCUUUAACAAUAUUUAAAUUUCUUAUUUUAAGGCUUUUCAAUAAAGGGAAAAAUGAGUUUUUCUUCCUUUGCUUUAAAAGAUAUACUAUCAUAGUUGACAGUAUAAGGGGUAAUGAGAUUAAUAAAGGGAGUUCCUAAUAUAACAGUAUGAUGGAUAUCAUUUGUUAGGAGGAAGGAAGUCCUGAAUUCAAAACCAUUGUUAUGAAUUGAGGCGUCAACUUUAGAUUUGACAUUUAGUUUUGAAUUAUUGGCGGCAGAAAGUCUUUCUUUAGUUUUUUCAUGAAACCUUCUGGGGACAAUAUCAUCUUAAUAUAUAUAUAUAUAUAUAUAUAUAUAGAGAGAGAGAGAGAGAGAGAGAGAGAGAGAGAGAGAGAGAGAGAGAGAGAGAGAGAGUCAUGGACUUUAUUAAAGUUCAAAAAAAGUAUUAAGUUAUAUGGUUUAAUAGUGUAAUGGCCUCUUCUCAAAAAAAAAAAAAUAGUGUAAUAAGAGACUAUAUGAUUUAAUAACUCUAUCAAAUUUUAACAAAAUCUAAAUUCAAGAUUGGAAUAUAUCAUAAGGUAAGAAUUAGGAUGGCUUUCUAUUUAUAAUUGUUCCCGAAGUAGAAAACCUUCGUUUUGCUCCAAAAUAGCUUCUUGCAAAAGGGAUUGCUUUUGACAGGAUGGGAUCAUUAUCCGAGAUUUUGUUAAAGUCCAGACCAGAUCCGGGAUUAUGUAAAGUACAAAAUCCAAAUCACGUAUUACGCACUAUCAUGUUCAAUUUAAUAAUCAUUUAAUUUGGAGACAAUUGAAAUUCAUGUGCUAGGCGACGGCUCCUAUAAUGUGAUUAAAUCGUAACCCAAGUGUUAAUUAAGGGUACCCUUGUAAUUGUAAUUAGAAUUAAUGCCUAUAUAAUCACCUUGAUGUAAUGCUAAUUCUUCAUGCACACAUAUUGCUUUGCUUAAAGAUUGCGUCAUUGCUGCCAAAUUGCUCCAAAUCUCUUCAUAUAUAGCUUCUUUUUUUUUUUUUUAAAAGAAUGUGGAAAUUGAAGCUUUCGGAAGGAAAUUGUGAACAUGAUCCAUGGAUUACAAGUUUGAACAAUCAUAUUGGCAGACAAUUCUGGGAAUUUGACCCAAAUCUUGGAACUCCUGAAGAACGGCAACAAGUUAACAAACUUCGCAAUGAUUUCACCGAGAAUCGGUUUCUAACGAAACACAAUUCUGAUCUAUUUAUGAGACUUCAGGUAAAGAAAUAUCAUUUGUAUGUAUGUAAACUUUACACCAAGAUUUUCAUCAUUUUCGCACUUUAUAAAAUGCAGAUUCAACCAUUAAUAUAAUUCUCAUCAUGAAGUCGUCAGGAUUUGAGAAUUACUGUGUAAUAUAUUAAUUGUGUUUAUGUGAUAUGUACAGUUUGCGAAGGAGAAUGCAUGUGAGAUGAAGCAGCUGCCUCAGGUGAAAGUAAAAGAUGAAGAAGAAAUAUGUGAAGAGCAAGUUGUGAGUACAACAUUGAGGAGAGCUCUGAGAUUCUAUUCUAGUCUCCAGGCCGAGGAUGGCUUUUGGCCUGGUGACUAUGGUGGUCCUUUAUUCCUUCUUCCUGGCUUGGUAUAAAUAUAUAUCUAUGGUGAUACCUAGUUUACUUGUCUUUUGAAUGUUUAUAAUACUUUGGAUAAAAAAAAUACAGACACACAGAAAUGUGUGUAGAGUGUUUUUAAUCUCUUACUUGAAAUACGCAUUUAACAAAUUAGACAAUCUCAUAUGAGACAUGCAGUUGCAUUAUAUGGGAGAGGUUUAAUAUGACCAUCUGAUCAAAUCAUGAUAUUUGUCUUAAAAUUCAUUUAUUUGUAUGUACUUCAAAAUUAGUCAAUUUCAAAAUGUGUGUGUAUAAUCAAAACUUUAUUAGAUGAAUGUGCAAAUGAUGAUCUCAUGUAAGACUUUCUUGUACUUGGACAAAUUGAAGCCAACUUUCGGAUUAAAGAAAUAUGAUCUCCUUCUUCAAAUCUUUAUUUAUUUUCGUGAAAAUUAACGAAAAGAAAAGAAAAAAAAAAUUGCAAUAGUCGUUUUCACUAUGUUAAUGAUCCCAGCCUCCCAAAAUCAUAUUUUUUUCUCUUCGGAAAUCACAUCAGCACCAAUACGAGAAAACUAAACUUCAAUAAUGUUAUCAUUUUUGGUAUUUUUUUAUGUCUAUACAUGUCUAUAUAGUUUAAUAUAAGGUUGUUAUUAGUCACAAAUAAUUGAUUAAAACAAAUACAAAUUCACUGUAUUUACAAUUUCAUGGUCCCCUUCUCUCCCUUUCUGUUAUUUAAAAAAAAAAUUUGUAGGUAUUUCUAGCAAAAAAAACUGCUUUCAAUGUCUUAUUCAUAUUGUUGUCAUCAUGACAAGCAUCAACAUUCAUUUUUUUUAAAAAAAAUUAUGCAUAUUUUUCAAAAUUAAGAUUCUUUUUUUCAAAUCUAUACAUAUUUUUCAAAAUUGAGUCGCAUCAUUUAUAUAUCCAUUUUCAAACUCAAAAGCAAUAUUUAUGUGUACUAAAUUAUGAGACAGGUGAUGGGCCUAUUUGUAACCGGUGCCUUGAAUGCAAUUUUAACAAUGGAACAUCGAAGGGAAAUGAUUCGUUAUCUAUAUAACCACCAGGUAUAUUUUUUUAUUUAUAAAACUACAUAAUUAAACAAUUCUAUUAACUGUGUAGAUUAAUUUCUCAACAAAUAUUUUACAAACUGAAGGUGUUUAUUGAAAUUAAGCCAUAACUUUUGCGGAGUAAUGUGAAAGUGAAACCAAUAAUCUACAGAACAGAGAUGGGGGAUGGGGAUUGCAUAUAGAAGGGUGCAGCACGAUGUUCUGUACUGCGCUAUCAUAUGUCACUUUGAGACUGCUUGGAGAGACAAUGGACGGUGGGGAUGAUGGUGCCAUGGAAAAAGCCCGAAAAUGGAUCCUUGAUCGCGGUGGGGUCACCUCCAUUCCAUCUUGGGGAAAGAUGUGGCUUUCGGUAUGAACCAUUCAUUAC